This 234-nucleotide unclassified non-coding RNA is filed under the name Glomeraceae sp. RNAcentral's name for it is "partial contains 5.8S ribosomal RNA and internal transcribed spacer 2". The stretch from base 1 to 71 matches the Rfam family "5.8S ribosomal RNA", at positions 84 to 154 of the family's 154-position model. The record is from RNAcentral. Lineage: Eukaryota; Fungi; Glomeromycota; Glomeromycetes; Glomerales; Glomeraceae.
GUGAAUCAUCAAAUUUUUGAACGCAAAUUGCACUCUCUGGUAUUCCGGGGAGUAUGCCUGUUUGAGGGUCAGUUUAAAUAAAAAUCGGUGUGGUCGCUGCCUUUCGUGGUUACGCGCCGGAGUUGGGUCGUCUUGCCUCCGGUUAAGUGACCUAAAAUUGUGCAUGAUUUUUUCUAACGUAUUUAAAUGACUUUACGUACGUUUGCGAUAUCUUAUUCUAGGUAUGGUCAUCCU